UACGAAGGGGGCUAGCGUUGCUCGGAAUUACUGGGCGUAAAGGGCGCGUAGGCGGCACUGUUAGUCAGGCGUGAAAGUCCUGGGCUCAACCUGGGAACUGCGCUUAAUACGGCAGAGCUAGAGGAUGGAAGAGGCUCGCGGAAUUCCCAGUGUAGAGGUGAAAUUCGUAGAUAUUGGGAAGAACACCGGUGGCGAAGGCGGCGAGCUGGUCCAUUACUGACGCUGAGGCGCGACAGCGUGGGGAGCAAACAGG
Molecule: ribosomal RNA, 253 nt
Filed under: uncultured bacterium
Lineage: Bacteria
Description: partial 16S ribosomal RNA
Rfam family: Bacterial small subunit ribosomal RNA
Source: RNAcentral